Long non-coding RNA from Chinchilla lanigera (long-tailed chinchilla), 1204 nucleotides. NCBI's taxonomy places the organism in Eukaryota, Metazoa, Chordata, Mammalia, Rodentia, Chinchillidae. The record is from Ensembl.
UUAUUUUCUAAAUCCUUAGCAUUAUUUUUUCUCUCACGUUUGUUUAUAAAUGUUUCUUACGUCUUGAAAAUUUCUAUAGAUAAAAUCAGUCCACCAGACGGUUAACGAACCUGAUUUCUUCCAGCUUAGGUCUACACAAGGUCAUGUAUAUAGGACGAAACAAGCUUGUCCGUUUUAGAACUGGAGAAAUUGUUGAACUGACCUAGAAGAAGAUAUUUAUCUGAAAUUAAAGCAAAUCAUGGAAGCUUUAUUUACAUCUAGGCGUUCUACCACGUAUACUGAGACUCUUUGUACAUUGAGGCUUUAUUCUAUUUUAUUAUGUCAUUUGAUUAAAGUGAGAAUUACACUCCCUCGGAUCUCUGACCUUCUGUCCUAGGAGUUUUUGUGGCUCACAGUUGAUUUUGCUCAGUUUGUGCUCCUCUGGCUGCACACGGGCUCACGGCGAGAGGGUGGGCGUCAUCCCAGGAUAGCAAGGACUGUUUCUGCGGAGAGCUACUCUCAGCGCAUCUGUUUUACUCUCACCCUGAACAGAAAUUGCUCAACUAUUCACUGGCAUCAGGAUUUCAGGGCCAGUCGCUCUUGGUGUGGAUAAUUGCCAUGAUUUUCAAGGACUGUUCUGUAAUUCUUUUCAGUCCAUUUUUAACCCUGGCAGACUAUCGCUGUUUGAUACUGACUACCAAGAAGCAGUUGCUGUAGGAAAACCAAACUGUUCUGACAUUUCUACUUACCGGGUUUCACUUGCAGUUCAUUUCAGAGCGCGACAAUCAGAAGAAACAAGGAAGGGCUUUGUUUUGUUUUGCUUUUCCAGACUCAUUUCAAGAAACACUACACGCAAUCUGUCUACACAGUUGUUUGGUUCAAGAAAAUGUUUCCACUCAUCUUACCGCCGCGUUGUAACGGAAAAUUGCUGCCGGUGCCAAACCCACCAAGAACGUUCGCGGCACCAAAGAGGACCUCUGCUCUCCACUACUGUACAUUUCUCCUGGCCUCAAAGGCUCAGCCACACGUUCUAAAGUGUAACGGGCCUCUGGAAGCAGGACAGGAGCUGUCAAGUUCAAUUUAUCCCUGCUCUCCGUUGAUAAGCAGAAAGAUGUUUUGUGAAAUGUCAGUAAACGUAACUUUAACCCAAAAAGAGUCUCGGAUGCAAUUGAGGAACGGUUUGAAAGCUGUCAUUGAUGGGAUAGUACUUCCAACUUGUAAUUGA